CCAGAGAAUAAACGCAGCUGGGAAACGGCGUCUAAUACUGGGAUAUGUGACGUGACCGCAUGGUCUGCGUUUGGAAAGAUUUUUCGGUUGGGGAUGGGCUCGCGGCCUAUCAGCUUGUUGGUGAGGUAAUGGCUCACCAAGGCGUCGACGGGUAGCCGGCCUGAGAGGGUGACCGGCCACACUGGGACUGAGACACGGCCCAGACUCCUACGGGAGGCAGCAGUGGGGAAUAUUGCACAAUGGGCGCAAGCCUGAUGCAGCAACGCCGCGUGAGGGAUGACGGCCUUCGGGUUGUAAACCUCUUUUAGCAGGGAAGAAGCGAAAGUGACGGUACCUGCAGAAAAAGCGCCGGCUAACUACGUGCCAGCAGCCGCGGUAAUACGUAGGGCGCAAGCGUUAUCCGGAAUUAUUGGGCGUAAAGAGCUCGUAGGCGGUUUGUCGCGUCUGCUGUGAAAUCCCGAGGCUCAACCUCGGGCCUGCAGUGGGUACGGGCAGACUAGAGUGCGGUAGGGGAGAUUGGAAUUCCUGGUGUAGCGGUGGAAUGCCCAGAUAUCAGGAGGAACACCGAUGGCGAAGGCAUAUCUCUGGGCCGUAACUGACGCUAAGGAGCGAAAGGGUGGGGAGCAAACAGGCUUAGAUACCCUGGUAGUCCACCCCGUAAACGUUGGGAACUAGUUGUGGGGUCCAUUCCACGGAUUCCCUGACGCAGCUAACGCAUUAAGUUCCCCGCCUGGGGAGUACGGCCGCCAGGCUAAAACUCACAGGAAUUUGAUG
This 774-nucleotide ribosomal RNA is filed under the name Microbacterium paraoxydans. Its description in RNAcentral is "bacterial SSU rRNA". It matches the Rfam family "Bacterial small subunit ribosomal RNA", at positions 136 to 916 of the family's 1533-position model. The record is from RNAcentral. Lineage: Bacteria; Bacillati; Actinomycetota; Actinomycetes; Micrococcales; Microbacteriaceae.